Medicago truncatula (barrel medic) is the source of this 1512-nucleotide long non-coding RNA. RefSeq lists it as uncharacterized. NCBI's taxonomy places the organism in Eukaryota, Viridiplantae, Streptophyta, Magnoliopsida, Fabales, Fabaceae. The transcript is spliced from 2 exons. The record is from RefSeq and is a predicted model, not a curated record.
UGCAGAUGCAGCUCCUCUGGAGAACCACCUACUUUUAAAAAUAUGUUGGCCGCCAGUGCUCCUUAACUACUUUUCGCAAAAAUUCAACGCUAACAAAUGAAUGUUGUAGGUAUAUAUCUUUUCAAUUAUUCAUUUGUUAGUUGUGUGUAUCAUUUUUAUUCAUUUUAAUCUUUAUUAAAUCCAGAUCUGCAAUCUUUUCUCAUGCAGAGAAUACUUUGACGCUAAACGUGUUAAAGAUGGUUUCAUUUCAUCAUCACUUUCGUCUUCCAUGUGUUUUAUGUGGUCGAUCACAACUUCUAUCUUUUUUAUUAUUUUAACGGCUGUGAUUUCUUUGUAGAGAUAGAGAAGCAAAUGUAUGCCUUGUAUCUAAUUUAAUUUUAGUUAUUCAUAUAAUAGAAACGUACAUGACCAUGGUAUAAAGUGCCACCGAGGAGAAAACAUACCAACAAUUUUGGAACUAGAUCUUUCCCUUUGAUUUUUCACUUGCCGAUUUUUUAGAUUAAUAAAUCUAUCAAAUGAUCAAAUGCAUGCAUAGAUGAAAAAUGUUAAAAACGGUUACGACGAUUAACACAAUGAAUGAUUUCAUAUCUUACAUUCAAACAAUAAUCGGAAAAAUUGGCGAUGAGAAGGUUGACAGAAUACACCGUGUCGUUUAGUAAGAGAGAAUUAGUCGGAAACAAGUCUAGAGGGAGUCAUAGGGAUUUCAUACCUUACUCAAUGACACCCUCUAGAAAUGUUUCCGACUAAUUCUCUCUUGCUCAAUGACGCAGCUUAUUCCCUCAACCUUCUCCAUCGUUGAUUUUUCCCAUUAUUGUCAGCAUGUAUGAUAUGAAUUCCUUCAUUGUAUUAUUCGUCGUAAUUGUUUUUAACCGUUUCCAUCUAUGCAUGCAAUUGAUAGAUUUAUUGAUCAUUUUCUUUGACAGUGAUAGUUGCUCAAACUUCAAAGAGAUCUAAACAAUCGGCAAGCAAAAAAACUAAGGGAAAUGGUUCCAAAAUUGUUACUAUGUUUUCUCCUCAGUGGCACUUUAUACCAUCAUGUUUUUAUUAUAUGAAUAACAAAAUAUUAAAUUAGAUAUAAGGCAUAUGUUUUCUUCUCUAUCUCUAUUGAAUAUUUUGAAAUCUCUGAUCUAUUUAAUUUAUUUAUUUGUUUUGUUUUGUUUUGUGCAAGCUUUGCUUCUUGAUGAUGGAACAAUUCCAAGCACAACAACGGAAACUUCAUCAAUGAAUGAAAUAGCUUUUAACAUUAUGGAAAUAAGUCAACAUAUGGAAGAAAUUUUAUUCUUCAUAAGUAGCAAUACUCAAGCUCUUCUCAAGCCUCCGAGAAUCAAGUGGCGAUGAAACGGGAGACCGGAGAAGAGAAUGAUGCACCAUCAACUGAAUAUGUAAUAAGGCACAUUUCAUCCAUAAGCUUCCAUAUUUCAUCUCUAAAUCAACUUGGAUCUCUAAUCUGUAUUAACAUGGUUGGUGUCCCACACUUCAGGACAAUAAACAUAGCAAGUAGAAAUUCCCAGA